GAUAAGGUGACUGAAUUAUAAGUGAUAAAUUGUAAAUUUAUUUAUGGUGUUUAACCUCUUAUCA
Molecule: transfer RNA, 64 nt
Filed under: Eusthenes cupreus
Lineage: Eukaryota; Metazoa; Arthropoda; Insecta; Hemiptera; Tessaratomidae
Description: tRNA-Tyr
Source: RNAcentral